RNAcentral lists this unclassified non-coding RNA (233 nucleotides) under uncultured fungus. RNAcentral's name for it is "partial contains small subunit ribosomal RNA, internal transcribed spacer 1, and 5.8S ribosomal RNA". The stretch from base 1 to 73 matches the Rfam family "Eukaryotic small subunit ribosomal RNA", at positions 1759 to 1831 of the family's 1831-position model. Lineage: Eukaryota; Fungi. The record is from RNAcentral.
GCAAACUUGGUCAUUUAGAGGAAGUACAAGUCGUAACAAGGUUUCCGUAGGUGAACCUGCGGAAGGAUCAUUAACAAGUCGUUGGGGUGCAAUUUUGUACUUUCAUUUGUGCUCUGGCAGUAUGCUAGAAUGCACCAUAUAUAUGUUGUAAUGUGUAUAUUAGUUGCAAUCAUAAUACAAAACAUACUUUUAACAAUGGAUCUCUUGGCUCUUGCAUCGAUGAAGAACGCAGC